This 3180-nucleotide long non-coding RNA is filed under the name Equus caballus (horse). RNAcentral's name for it is "lncRNA (ENSECAG00000038198.3)". Lineage: Eukaryota; Metazoa; Chordata; Mammalia; Perissodactyla; Equidae. The record is from RNAcentral.
GUUUUCUCAGAACAAUAUGUUUUGCUCUUGGGCCAAAGUGAGUAAAAUUUGGUACUAGACCCUAGAAUUUAACCUCAUAUGUUGGCAGUAGACUAGAAAAGAUCUUCAGAUGAAGAGAGCAGAGUAAAAUGGAGAAAGCCAUACACUGGGAGUCAGAUGGCCUGGAUAGGAUUUUGUGCUGGCGCUCAUUAGUCAUGAAACUUGAGGCACUUACUAGCACCAGGCACUGUAGCAAGCAAUGGAGGUUAAAACAUGAAGAGACACUGUCCCAGCCCUCUCGGAGCUCACGUUCCAGCAGAUUAGCCCUGAACUAGCAUCCACUGCCAAGCCUCCUCUUUCUGCUGAGGAAGACUGGCCCUGAGCUAACAUCUGUGCCCAUCUUCCUCUAUUUUGUAUGUGGGACACCUGCCAUAGCAUGGCCUGAUGAGCAGUGUGUAGCUCUACACCUGGGAUCCGGAGCAGUGAACCCCAGGCUGCCAAAGCGGAGCGCGUGAACUUAACUGCUGUGCCACAGGGCUGCCUGUGUCAAUGACUUUCUUUUAGUAAACACAACUAGGAUUGAGGGCAGAAGGGCAGGGGAGAGAGGGAGAAAUGGAGGGGGGAGAGAGAGAGAGAUGCUUGAUUUUUUAAAAGAUGGUCCCUUGGACAAGAACAUUUGUCAAAGAAGGCCUGGAUGCUCUUGGGAAUUAGCUGACAUUCCAAAGUGUUCUCUUUUCCUGAUAGCUUUUGCACCCCUUAAGACGACACUGAGAGCGACCCUAGUCCCUCCACAGCCUUUGAAUGAAUGGGAGGCCCUGAUCUGUUUGGGUGAUUGGAUUUGUCUUGGCAGGUGGGGCUGGCUAUCAUCCACUUAAGCAGGACAGGUUCUCCAGGGUGCCAGGAAGCCUCCUCUUCAACAUGUUCUCUUGAUUUUUACUGACUCCUUUGACAGGGAGAAGCCUCUUGCUUACGAGCCACCCACUACGAGAGCACUUGCUGACGUUAAUGUGUAAAUGGCAUCCGUACCAGGCACUUUCCUGAGAAAACACUUUGAUAGAGCAGAGGACAGAGCAAGCAUGACGAUGCCCAGUUGUGGAAAACGGGAGAGGGUGUCUUCCGACCGAGGGAGGAUGGGGAGGCUCAGAGUAAGACGUAUUUCACCAGGAAGUCUCCCAAUCUGUGAAUUGAGCAUGCCUCACACGGAGAUGGGAGAAUGGUGGAAGCCUAACCUCCUGGAUGAGGCAGUUCCUUUUGGUCGAGCACUGACAGCAUCUACUACACCAACAAUCUUGGAGCGAAGAAGUGGGGAAAGGAGGAAGCUGCACAGAUGUUGAAACGACUACUACAGGAUGAGAUGUUAAACUGGAAAGAAAACUUACAGACCUACAGGAACACAAGGACAGUAACAUCUUUGUAUUCUCACAACCCAGAGAUGUAAAAUGUGUGUGUAAGAUGGAGAUAGAGCUUCUGCAUUUUCAAAAUGCUCAGAUGCCUGCAUGUGAAAGGCAGAGAGGAGAACCGGGACUCUCAGAGGAGAUGAAUUUUGACUCCAGACUGACUGGAACCAUCAGGAACUGGUGACUUGUGACCACAGCUCGUCCCGAGCAGACUCACUGCUGCCUCUGUGGUGAGCCUAUUUUCAAAGCCCCACAGUGGCCCCUUGUAAACUUUUCUCUUUUCCCUCAAGCCCUGACCCCUCCAGUCCACUUGAGCUCCCACUGUGUGGAGACAAAAGGCCACCUAUUCUGUAGCAUCCCCCUCAAAACACCUCUAUUUUCAGCCCUUCUUCCUCCCUAUUUUAAUGAGCAGGUUUUCUGGAUUUUUCCCGAGGUCAGUUUCCCUGCUUGUGUGCUUGGCCCCAUCCUUUCCACCCCCCCAGGACCUUACUCAUUUGGUGAAAAUACAACUUUUUAGAAAUAAAUAUGUAACGUUCUCUGCACUUAAUAUUUUAUGGUAAUUAGGCUUUUUAAUCCCAAUGUCUGCUAUGCUAGGCUGACAGGAUUUUUAUGUAAACUAGCUGAUUUAUAUAUAUGUAAGUCCUAUAUAUGUAUAUGAAAAUUACAUUGGUAUGUUUAGACUAGUACAGCAGUGAGGAUGACAGAGAGAAAAGCAGGCGUAUGAAAAUGCAGAACAAUAGAUUAAACUGUGAAGCCUUUGUAGGUGGACAGCCUGAGCAUGCUUUGCUAAUUGUUUUGAAUCCUCAAUACCCUGUAGUGCAGAAAGGGUGGGGCAAGGGGCCCAGAAUCACACAUGUAUCAUGCCUUAAAGGCAAGCUGCAGACAAAAGCUGUGUUGAUGCCAUUACUAGAACUCCUCCCUGCCAUGUCCCCUACCCCCACUGCUGGGCCCCCUAACUUGUUUAUUUCUAUUGAAGUAUAACAUACAUUAAAUAAUUUUCCCCUUUUAAAUGCACAGUUUGAUAAGUUUUAAAAUAUGCAUACUUCUAUGUGACCACCAGCACAAUCAAGAUACAGUUUUGAUUUCAUCACCCAAAAAGUCCUCUCUUGCUCCUUUGCAUUCAAGGUCUGCUCCUCCCAAUCCCAGGAAUCCAUCAGGUUGUUGUCUCUGAGCAUUAUGGACUGCGUGUUCAUGUCGCCCCAAUUAAUAUGUUGAAACCCUAACUCCCAACAGAGUGGUAUUAGGAGAUGGGGCUUUUGGGAGAUAAUUAGGUCAUGAGGAUGGGGCCCCCAUGAUGGAGAUUAGUGCCCUUAUAAGAAGAGGAAGACAGCUAGCUCUCUGCUGUCUCGGCCAUGUGAGGAUACAGCAAGAUGUCCUCUGCCAGCCAGGAAGAGAGCCCUCAGCAGAUAUUAGAUCUGCCCGUGCCUUGAUCUUGGACUUUCUAGCCUCCAGAACUGUGAGAAACAAAUGUUUACUGAUUAAGCCACCCAGUCUAUGGUAUUUUUUUGUUAUAGCAUCCCAAGCAGACUAAGACGCUUAGUAUAGACCAGUUUUGCCUGUUCUAGUAUAGAUUCACAAAUUAGUUUUGACUGUUUAUACAAAUGGUACAUUCGAUAUAAACUCUUUAUUGUCUGGAUUCUUUUCCUCAACCUAAUAUUUUAAAAAUUCUUCUAUGUUAUUACAUGUAUCAGUGUUUCUUCCUUUUUAUUUGUUAGUGGUAUUUUAUUGUAUAAAUACACCACAAUCUGUCACAUUUGGGUUGUUGCCAGUGUUUGGUUAUUAUGAAUAAAACUACUAUAACAUU